GGCUAUGUAGUGUAGCGGUUAUCACAUUUCUCUCGUAAAGAAGGGGUCGAGGGUUCAAAUCCCUCUGUAGCCA
This 73-nucleotide transfer RNA is filed under the name Dictyostelium purpureum. It matches the Rfam family "tRNA". Rfam says of the family: Transfer RNA (tRNA) molecules are approximately 80 nucleotides in length. Their secondary structure includes four short double-helical elements and three loops (D, anti-codon, and T loops). The record is from Rfam by way of RNAcentral. Lineage: Eukaryota; Evosea; Eumycetozoa; Dictyosteliales; Dictyosteliaceae.